Molecule: unclassified non-coding RNA, 539 nt
Filed under: Fusarium solani
Lineage: Eukaryota; Fungi; Ascomycota; Sordariomycetes; Hypocreales; Nectriaceae
Description: sequence contains ITS1, 5.8S rRNA gene, ITS2
Rfam family: 5.8S ribosomal RNA (bases 169-322)
Source: RNAcentral
UGCGGAGGGAUCAUUACCGAGUUAUACAACUCAUCAACCCUGUGAACAUACCUAAAACGUUGCUUCGGCGGGAACAGACGGCCCCGUAACACGGGCCGCCCCCGCCAGAGGACCCCCUAACUCUGUUUCUAUUAUGUUUCUUCUGAGUAAAACAAGCAAAUAAAUUAAAACUUUCAACAACGGAUCUCUUGGCUCUGGCAUCGAUGAAGAACGCAGCGAAAUGCGAUAAGUAAUGUGAAUUGCAGAAUUCAGUGAAUCAUCGAAUCUUUGAACGCACAUUGCGCCCGCCAGUAUUCUGGCGGGCAUGCCUGUUCGAGCGUCAUUACAACCCUCAGGCCCCCGGGCCUGGCGUUGGGGAUCGGCGAGGCGCCCCCUGCGGGCACACGCCGUCCCCCAAAUACAGUGGCGGUCCCGCCGCAGCUUCCAUUGCGUAGUAGCUAACACCUCGCAACUGGAGAGCGGCGCGGCCACGCCGUAAAACACCCAACUUCUGAAUGUUGACCUCGAAUCAGGUAGGAAUACCCGCUGAACUUAAGCAU